This is a long non-coding RNA of Acinonyx jubatus (cheetah), 4540 nucleotides long. RefSeq lists it as uncharacterized. The transcript has 3 exons. The record is from RefSeq and is a predicted model, not a curated record. Lineage: Eukaryota; Metazoa; Chordata; Mammalia; Carnivora; Felidae.
UCUCUUCUAUAAAAUAUCCUCCUUUUCCUGUUCAGAAUAAUUUUAUCAUAUAUAAUGAAAAAUCUCAAGAGUCUGGAAUUGCAUUGAAUCUGUAUGUCAAUUUGGGGGAAAAUGCCAUCUUUAUAAUAUUGAUAUUAGUAAACAUGACCUAUCUCUCCUUUGGUUUAGGUGUUCUCCACCCUCUCAUAAUGAAAUUUUAUAAUUUUCCCUAAAGAAAUCUUCAUUGUCAUUUCUCAGAUUUGUUGCUAUGUACUUUAUAUUUUCUGACAAUAUUUCCUUUAAUUAUUUAUUGUUGAUAUAUAGAAUGCUACUGAUAUUUGUAUAUUAAUUUUAUAUCCAUUCUUCUUGAGGUUAGUAUUUUGAUAGUAUACUUGUAUAUCUUUUUGAGUUUUCACCAUAAAGAAUAGCUUCUGAUCAUUACAGUUUUAUUUCUGCGUUUUCAAUCAGGUGCCCCUGCACUGGCUACACUCCACUACAAUGUUGAACAGAAGUAGCAAGAAUACACAUUCUUUUCUCAUUCUUAACUUCAAAGCAUGCUUCUGAUGUCUCCUUCAUUUAGGAUAAUGCUUGCUACAGGUUUUUAAAUAUAUACGUAUCAUUCUAUAAUACAAAAUGAAGUAUUUUGUUCUGCAAUGUGGAGAAUGCUUCUCAGCUUUUAAAAAUAUGCAAAAUCUGACGAAGAACAAAUUCUCUUAAAUUCCUCUUAAACUAGUUUAAAAUUUCCCUUUAUAUUUAUCAAAAGGCAACAAGGUAACAAUUGUUCUUCUUAAUCUGUCUUUAGAAAUAAAUAUUACUCCUUAGUCCUAAAAGCAGUAUGUAUAAGAAUUUAAUUUUUAUCGGAAAAAUAUUACCAUGAUGUAUUUCUCUUGGAAGUACGGAUUCAAAAUUUUAAAGUCAAUUAUAGUAUAUAUUAGCUCUAGAGAUGUGACAUUUCCAAAAUUCUAAUACAGUUAAAUAUUACUGAAAUACAAGUAAACAUCAGGACAAAAAUACACAGUAUAUAGGCUAAUAAUUUUAAAAGCUCACUUCAUUUAAAAGUCAUUUGGGAAAAAAGCUCAUUUCAUUUAAGUCUCAUUUCAGAAAAAAAAAUGAAGUUUAGUUAUAAUUCAUUUGACUUGCUAUUUAAAAUGUAUAGAAGGGCGUCUGGGUGGCUCAGUUGGUUAAGUGUCUAGCUCUUUUUUUUUUUUUUAAUGUUUAUUUUUGACAGAGAGCGUGCACUCGUGAGUGGGGGAGGGGCAGAGAGAGAGGGAGACACAGACUCUGAAGCAGGCUCCAGACUGUCAGCACAGAGUCCAAUGUGGUGCUCAGAGUCCAAUGUGAUGCUCAAUCCGAUAGAUCAUGACCUGAGCCAAAGUCGGACACUUAACCGAUUGAGCCACCCAGGUACCUGGAAGCGUCUGACUCUUGAUUUUGGCUCAGGUCAUGAUCUUGUGGUUGUGGGCCCGUGUCAGGCUCCGUGCUGAACGUGGAGACUGCUUGGGAUUCUACCCUCUCUCUCUCUCUGCCCCUCCCCAGCUCACCUGUUCAUGCACUCUCACUCUCAAAAUAAAUAAAACUUUUAAAAAAAUGUAUAGAUUAAUCUGUCAUGUAUAACAUAAGAAAAGCUAACAUUUAAAGUGCUUACAUGGCCAGGCAAAAGGUAAAUGGUCACAGCCAUCUAUCAUUAAUUUACUCAUUCUUUCAAGGUAUUUAUUGAGUUACUAUUAUGUGCUCUGCACUAAAAUAAAUACCAGAUACAGAUAUGAAAAGACCAUGCCUGCUCUUAGUGAGAUUAGUGUCUCCAUGAAAAAUAGGUAAAGUAAAAUUAUAUAACAUGAAAAGUGUUAUAAUGGGAGUAUGUUGAAUACAGAAGGCAUAAAAGAAGUGCCCCAAGUUCUGCCCAUGAUAAUCAAUAAGGUUUGAAAAACUAAAGCGAAUGAAGUAAAGAAAGGAUAAUGAAGUACUCAAGAGCCUUUUUUUCUUCUUGUCUUUUAAAAACAAAAGAAAAAAUUUAUUUAUUUAAGUAAUCUCUAUACCCAACAUGGUGCUCAAAGUCACGGCCCCAAUAUCGAGUUGCAUGUUUAAUGGACUGAGCUAGCCAGGUGCCCCUCUUCUUGUUUUUUAAGCUUAAAGUUGUGAGGAAAGGCUCUUAUAUUUUCUUGUAUUAAACCAGACUUUAGAGACCAGAAUGAAUCUAUGUUAGAGACCACUUGUCUUUUUAAACUGUGUUAUCUUUCAUUUUUUUAAUAUUUUUUUUCUUCUGGUGAGGACUUUGUUUUUUUUUAAUUUUUUAAAUGUUUUAUUUAUUUUUGAGAGAGAGAGACAGAGCGUGAGCAGGGGAGGGGCAGAGAGAGAGGGAGACACAGAAUCCGAAGCAGGCUCCAGGCUCUGAGCCAUCAGCACAGAGCCCGACGCGGGGCUCGACCCCACAAAUGGUGAGAUCAUGACCUGAGCCGAAGUCGGAUGCUUAACCGACUGAGCCACCCAGGUGCCCCUGUGUUAUCUUUCAGACUACCAAUAUAAGAUAAUCCCCCCAAACUCAAUUGUAAAAUAGUCUUUGUAACAACUCAGUGUCCUCGAUAUGGAAAAAUAAUAAGAUACUGAAUAAAACUGAAUUGUAAAUUCUUUAUUGUCAAAAUCCUAUCGAUUUUAAUCAAUGAAUAUGAGAAUUCCUUGUACGUCAUUAGACAGCUAGAAAAUGAUAAAUAACUUACAUUUUUUUCAGCUUUUGUUGUAAGAGUCCUCUAUGAAGUCUAACUGCUAUUCUUUUAUUCCAGCUAAGUGGACACUAUUAAAACUUGAUAUUGGAACCCUUCAUUAAAUUCUUCGUGCAAUUUAGAUUUCAGCACAUCUUUGACAAUUUGAACAAUAUUUUUACAUGAAACCUCAAGUUUAACACUACUUGACUGCUGUAUAUCCUUUUGUAAGAGAUAGUUCUAAAGAAUUAAUAGCAAGAAAAGUAAGGAAUGCCCUUAAAACAUACUAGUUGAUGUAGUACAUAAACUAAUCCUACACAAAGUUAAGAAUAAUUUUUACCAGUUUUUGUAUUUUCACACGAUACCUGAUGUCUACAAAACAGACUGUCACAAUGAUGUAACAUCAGUCUAUAGACCAGAAAGUGCAGGUCCUAUUUUACUAAACACUUUCAAUUUUACUGUUUCUAUAUAUCAUAAAUAUAGAUCACAAAAACAAAGUCAACUAAUCUCUUACAGUACUAACAGAAUUUUCCUAUGUGAAGUGACACACCUGUGAAAAAGUAUAAAUUCAGCCCUGACAAAUUUCUAUGUACAUGGUAGAAUUUGAACUUGUAUAUCCCAAAAAUAAAAUAAACAACCAAAGAAAAGGAUAAUUCUGAGUUAUCUAAAUUAGUUUUUGGUGUUUUGAGUUUUUUCAAGGGGAUUAGAUUUUGUUUUGCUUAGUAUUAGAAAUGUGCAUUUGAGGGGGCGCGUGAGUGGCUCAGUCGGUUAAGCAUCCAACUCUUGAUUUCUGCUCAGGUCAUUAUCUCAUGGUUUGUGGGUUUGAGCCUCGCAUCGGGCUCUGUACCCUCUCUCUCUGCCCCUCCCUUGCUUGUACUUGCUCUCACUCUCUCUCUAAAUAAAAAAAUGAACUUAAAAAAGAGAAAUGUACAUUUUAGGUCUUAUUUCAAUAUUCUAGGAAAACAAUAACAUAUAAUAACCAUAAUUUCUAUUAUGAAAACUAUACUGGAAUAGAGAAUGAAGCCUACUCUAACCGUCCUAUUUAAAUGUAUAACCUUUUCCCCUUAACUACAGUUUCCCGACUCCUUACACUGAUGUUUCCCCCUGAGAACUUUUCAUUGCCUAAUAAAUUACAUACUAUAUUCACUUAGUAAAUUUGUUUAUUGUCGGUCUUCCUCCACAGAAAUAGAAGCUCUUCAAAGGCAGGAAUUUCUGUUCGUUUUGUUCACUAACUUAUUCCAAGCACCUACAACAACCUAGGACUAUAAAGACUGAAUGAGAAGUACUGGAUAACAGACUGCCUGAGAGUCAAAGGAGGAAAUGGAGCUAACAAUAUACACUUUCCUAAAUAUCACCUUCACUCACUUUGGAGAAAAAGAAAAGAUUUGUCAUUCCUCAAACCUAGGAACCCAACUGAAUUGUGGUGAUAAUCUUCUCUACCUUAAGACACACAGUAGCAGAACUGGAAUAAAACCAGCUUCAUUAUGGGCUAAAGUCCAGAUUUAUUCCAAUAUCUGAGGCUGACUCGGAAAUGGGCCUUAAGAAUCCAAGUAAGGAAAGUUUUGGAUGUGUAUUUGACUGAUGUAUGCAGCAUAAGGUAAAUAAAAGAUGUAAGAGUUGGUAAGUGCUAGAGAUUUCACUGUGUUGGGGGGCGGGGAAGAUCUUGAAAAAAAUUUUAACUUCUGGGAUGAAAAAGUAGAGAAAUAUUUAAAAUCUGUCCCAGAUUACUCAGGUAUUUAACUAAAUUGAAAAUAAAUGGCAAUACCAAAUCACCUGUCUUGAUUAAGACUGCCUGAUUUAGGGGCACCUAGGUGACUCAGUUAAGCGACUGACUCUUCGUUUCCGCUCAGGUCAUGAUCUCACGG